Molecule: ribosomal RNA, 372 nt
Filed under: uncultured organism
Description: bacterial SSU rRNA
Rfam family: Bacterial small subunit ribosomal RNA
Source: RNAcentral
CGUAGGGUGCGAGCGUUAAUCGGAAUUACUGGGCGUAAAGCGUGCGCAGGCGGUUUUGUAAGACAGGCGUGAAAUCCCCGGGCUCAACCUGGGAACUGCGCUUGUGACUGCAAGGCUAGAGUACGGCAGAGGGGGGUGGAAUUCCACGUGUAGCAGUGAAAUGCGUAGAGAUGUGGAGGAACACCAAUGGCGAAGGCAGCCCCCUGGGUCGAUACUGACGCUCAUGCACGAAAGCGUGGGUAGCAAACAGGAUUAGAUACCCUGGUAGUCCACGCCCUAAACGAUGUCAACUAGGUGUUGGGUGGGUAAAACCAUUUAGUACCGGAGCUACCGCGUGAAGUUGACCGCCUGGGGAGUACGGCCGCAAGGUUA